CCUACGGGUGGCAGCAGUGGGGAAUAUUGGACAAUGGGCGAAAGCCUGAUCCAGCCAUGCCGCGUGUGUGAAGAAGGCCUUCGGGUUGUAAAGCACUUUCAGUGGGGAAGAAAGCCUUGGGGCUAAUACCCUCGAGGAAGGACAUCACCCACAGAAGAAGCACCGGCUAACUCCGUGCCAGCAGCCGCGGUAAUACGGAGGGUGCGAGCGUUAAUCGGAAUUACUGGGCGUAAAGCGCGCGUAGGCGGUCUGAUAAGCCGGUUGUGAAAGCCCCGGGCUCAACCUGGGAACGGCAUCCGGAACUGUCAGGCUAGAGUGCAGGAGAGGAAGGUAGAAUUCCCGGUGUAGCGGUGAAAUGCGUAGAGAUCGGGAGGAAUACCAGUGGCGAAGGCGGCCUUCUGGACUGAAACUGACGCUGAGGUGCGAAAGCGUGGGUAGCAAACAGGAUUAGAUACCCCAGUAUC
This 464-nucleotide ribosomal RNA is filed under the name Vreelandella stevensii. Its description in RNAcentral is "partial 16S ribosomal RNA". It matches the Rfam family "Bacterial small subunit ribosomal RNA", at positions 338 to 794 of the family's 1533-position model. The record is from RNAcentral. Lineage: Bacteria; Pseudomonadati; Pseudomonadota; Gammaproteobacteria; Oceanospirillales; Halomonadaceae.